RNAcentral lists this non-coding RNA (167 nucleotides) under chicken gut metagenome. Its description in RNAcentral is "Lysine riboswitch". It matches the Rfam family "Lysine riboswitch aptamer". Rfam says of the family: Riboswitches are metabolite binding domains within certain messenger RNAs that serve as precision sensors for their corresponding targets. The record is from RNAcentral.
AAAGGUAGAGGCGCGGGGCUUAUCAGUAGCAUAUAUCAGACAGCACGGGUCGUUUAUUGUGUGUGAAAGGGAGCUUUGCCGAAGUGUAAAUUGGAAGUGCGCUUAUUUACGCUGGGCAUACCGCUAAUAACGGUAUGACUGUCAUCAGAUAUGAUGGGGAGCUAUCG